Molecule: ribosomal RNA, 85 nt
Filed under: Aeromonas hydrophila
Lineage: Bacteria; Pseudomonadati; Pseudomonadota; Gammaproteobacteria; Aeromonadales; Aeromonadaceae
Also listed under: 1 other name
Description: partial 23S ribosomal RNA
Rfam family: Bacterial large subunit ribosomal RNA
Source: RNAcentral
GAGACCACAACGUUGAUAGGUGGGGUGUGUAAGCGCGGCGACGUGUUGAGCUAACCCAUACUAAUUACCCGUGAGGCUUAACCAU